Molecule: long non-coding RNA, 3554 nt
Organism: Solenopsis invicta (red fire ant)
Lineage: Eukaryota; Metazoa; Arthropoda; Insecta; Hymenoptera; Formicidae
Product: odorant receptor 43a
Exons: 6
Source: RefSeq, a predicted model, not a curated record
AUCAACCCAUAGAAGUUUUCAUGGCAAGAUACUUUUGGUAAUUUGCUUUCCAAAAGGUAGCAAUCAAAUAAAAUCCGAUGUUUCUGAUUGGAUCGAAUCCGGAUUUUCGAUACAGAGCAGAGCACAUGCACAAUUUUCUGCGCUAUACAGUCGCACACAUUUUGGAUUACUAAUUACAUAUAAAAUAUUAUACAUUUUAUACAAAUAUUUCGAUUAUACUAUUUAAAACAAAUUUUCAAACAAUCCGUUUCUUGCAAAGAGGUACAGUCAAAAUUUAUGAUAAUCUUUAUUUCAGAGACAACAUCAUGUGAUCUUUGGUAACUAAUUUCAACCAAAAAAGCAUUACAAACAGUCAAAAACUUCAAGUAACCACCAUGGAAUUCAACAAACUUCUAAUGGGUUAUAAAGAAGAAUUCAAAAGUGGUUGCUCCCUUUCCGAGCAUCUUAUACAUUUUUCAGUAUACAGCUUUUUUUUCACACAACUUUUUUUCGUUUUCUAUCGUAAGACAGAAAAAAGUUUCUAAUUGGCGAACUUGUAAACUCUGAUAAACAAUGUAUAUCCUCUUAUACCGUCUAAUAAAUAGUUCCAAUUUUUUACUUACUACUAUUCUCAAGAAGUUUUUGCAAAAUGAACUGUCGUCGAACUAGGGGUAACACUUUUAAUAUUUAAUAUCCCUUUCGCAAAAGGGAUCGCAAACCCGUUAAGUUCUUAUAAGUACUUAUUUCACAAGCAUGCGUGAUGCUCACUUUCUAUCUUGGAGUUGAAAAAACGAAACAGUAGUCUUAUCAUGUUAGUCAAUAACAUGGAUAUUUCGACAUCUUCAGGUUACAAUGAUUUUCUAUGGGCAGUGGAACUACAUUACUUAGGUUUGGAACUAAUCGGCUUGUGGCCUAAAACCGACAAAUUUGCACGUUUAUGGUCUCAAAUUCGUGUAGGCUUCAUUUUAACUUCGUUACUGUUUGUUAGUGAAAUUCCGUUGAUUUAUGCAAUUAUCCAAACAUGGGGCGAUAUGGUAUUUCUAAUCAGCAAUUUACAAUUGGCAUUGCCCUUCAUAAUGAUUUCAAUGAAAUAUGUUAUUAUGCACUGGAAACGAACAGUUUUCUUUUCGAUCGUAAAUAUGAUGGCGGAAGAUUGGAUAGCAGUAAAGAUUGAAACAGAAAAAGAUGUCAUGAUAAAACAAGCUCGAAUUGCUCGAUCAAUCAUGAUGAUUGGAUAUAUUUUCGUGGUAGUAGUGUUCAUUGGAUUGGCUGUUCCUCCUUAUUUGGGUAUAGAAGUAUCAGAUACAAUGAAUUUAACAGACAGAAAUAAGCCGUUACCACUUCAGACAUAUCAUUUCUACGAUACAGAUAAAAGUCCACAGUUUGAAUUAACAUUUCUCAUUCAUAGCGUAACAAUCUUCUUUGGAGGUAUUAUUUACGUAUGUCUAGAUAAUUCUUUUAUACUAAUAACUUUUCAUAUUCGUGGCCAAUUAAGGAACUUUAGAUGUCGGUUAGUAAGAUUGAUCUGUUGUAAAAGUUUCAACAAGGUUUUGAAUGAUAUUAUAGUGACACAUUUACGACUUAUCAGAUUUGCCAAUAAUAUUGAAAAUAUAUACUCGUUAAUAAUUUUAAUAUCAAUAUUCAAUUUUAGUGUCGUAUUUUGCUUAUGCGGCUUUUUAUUGACUAUUGUAUUUAAUGACAGAGAAAUAAAUGAAGCAGCUCUCGCACAAGUAUACCUUUCAACAACUAUUCUUCUUAGCUUAUUAUUAAAUACUCUUCUUUAUUGUAGCGCAGGACAACUUAUUAUAGAGCAAUGUAAUAAAGUACAUCAUGCUGUUUGCGAUCUUGAAUGGUACAAAUUGGAAGCAAAAAAAGCGAGAAAUAUUAUUUUAUUAAUGAUGCAAACCAGCCACCCAUUCUGCAUGACUGCUGGAAAUAUUAUUCCAUUAACAAUGGCAACCUUUGUUAGCGUAAGAUUAAGUAUUCAAAAUUUACUAAAUUUAAUUUUGCUUUUUUGCUUAGAAUCAAUAGUCUAUUUUGACAAUGCUUGUACAAGUAUAUAAUUUUCUAAAGAAAUCUCACUGAAUCCAAAAUUCACUCGUUAAAUUGAGAUUAUGGUACAUGUAUAUUUAUCAGAGUAUGGAAACUUACUUUUCAAAGUAACUUGCAAUACCGUGACUUGAAAAGUAAUGAUUCGUUACUUCUUCUAUUACUUUUGUAAUGCUUAAAUGAAAUUAGAUUAAAUAAAAAAAAAAUUACUUUUUAAAUAUUCUUUGUUACAAUACUAAUAAGAACAAUAAAUGCUUUUAUUUUAAGUUUGUAAGAAAAUAAGUACCUUAUUUAACACGUUAUUUCCAUAUUUAUGUAUAAAAAAUUUUCACGUUAUUUCGAGUAAGCACUACGAAAAAUUGUUGUAUUUGAAAAUUGUUUUUGCAUUUUAAAAGAUUAAGUUUUUACUUCAAGAGACUUUUGAAUUUAUUUUUUUCUCAACCCAUCUUAUUUUUAAAAAUAAAGCCUUUUUAAGUCUUCAACAGAAAUUGCAUAAUUUGAUGCAGCAUGUGGAGUAACUUUGUUUUCAAACAUUAUGUGCAAAUUAUCAUAAAAUUUGAACUUUUUGUUGCAAAAAAAAGAAAAAGGAAGAUUGUUACGAUCCGUUUUUGCAGAGUUACGCAAUAUUAUGAUGCAAAGUUACCAAUAUAUUUUUGCUUAGUUACCGCCAGAAUUAGCAUUAUCCGAUGCACACCACGGUGAAGUUGUUGCCACGGUUGCCACCUUUCAAUUAGUGUUCUUUUAAAAAUCGAUGGAUCUCUUUUUGUAAUCGCCACAGAUCGAUUACUACUGUCAAAAUUAUCUAAAUUUUUAGGAAAUGGUCAAAUUGAUUCUCAAAUUCCAGAGAUUCGUUUAAAAAGUUUCUGACUGAAAAUCAAAAAGAUGAUUAAACUUUUAAACAAAAAAAAUCAAAAUUUUAAACUUUCAAGCUGGAGAGUCAGAUAUUCAUUACAAAGUUGGAGUUUUCGGCCGAAAACUGGAGCUGGUGGCAGCCGCGGUUGUUGAUUAUAAUUCCCGUGUAAAUACAUGUACAUACAUGAAAGGCUAUGUAUAAGUGUAUGCGUGCAUAUGUACGCGCGCGUUAUAUAGUUGUAACUUUAGCAAGAGUGAUAACGAUUGUGAUAGCAACUAUUCUAACUUUUGACAUUGUGUAAAAAAAUUAAUGAAAUCAGUGAGAUAGUCUUUUAGGUUUUCUGCUAACAUCAUUAUAAAAAUUAUCUUUUAAUUUUCUUGUAACAUAUCUAACGACAUAAUUAUUUUUAGGUAUUAAAGUCGUCAUUUGGAUAUAUAUCGCUUCUAUUGACGAAACAUGGUUGAAGAUUGACAUUUACAUUAGUACUUCUUAUUGUUGCAAAAAAAUCAACGUGUUUAUAGUUAAUGUAGUUACACAGAGAAUUUUUAUAUUCCACAUUUGUUACUAUAGAAAUAAAGUUUUAUAGUAUUUAUUGCCUAUUGCUGAAAAUUACGCACAUAUACUUAUUUUUUAAGACGUCAUAUUAAGACGCAAUAAAGAAUACUGAAAAAUA